RNAcentral lists this long non-coding RNA (2024 nucleotides) under Carassius auratus (goldfish). RNAcentral's name for it is "lncRNA (ENSCARG00000000487.1)". The record is from RNAcentral. Lineage: Eukaryota; Metazoa; Chordata; Actinopteri; Cypriniformes; Cyprinidae.
AUGCACACAAAUAAUGAGCGAUCUGAGAGAUACGAGGAAUGGUUACAGUACAGGAACAUGCAUUUACUAGAGGCAAGCAGAAACUAUGCUGACCAUAUCGAAGCUGACAGUCAGGAUCAAAUGUGCAGAAGUAAUGGAGACAUGCCCCUGACCAGUAAUCCACUGCAUGAAACUGCUGACGGUGAUCUUGUCUUGUUCUGCAUUUCCUUUAGUGCAGUUUGUUUUAUCACCUGUUUGCUGUCAUCUUCAACCCUGCUCUCCUUACUGCUGCUCCCUUCUUCUGCAGAAAACACACACAUCUAUGUCUGCAACCUUACUUGUGUUAACAGUCUCUGAACUUGGACUGACAAUACCUCACAUUUUUAAAGUGCCCCUAAUAUACUGUUUUACAAUUGUUUUAGAGGUUUCCUACAACAAGUUUAUAUUCAAAAGUGUGAAAUGAUCCAAAUCUUCAGUCUUUUCCACAAGCCCUCUCUGCUCUGACUGGUCAGACGCCCGGUCCGUUGUUGAACUGAUGUAAUUUAAGUAUUAAGAGUAAGAGUAAUGAAGUUCCCUUCAUCUUCAAGGCUUUGAAUGAAGUCCUGCAAGUAGUUCACAAUCCGUGAUUCUCUCUGCGCUUCACUGAACCCACCGCACUUAAAACAGUGACAGGGACAUCAGAUAUUUCAUUAUUUCUCAUGACAAUGGAAAACCUGUAAAAAGCUGCAGACGAGAGUCUACGAAUGAGUAUAAUGUCCCAAAAACAUCUAACCCUGAUGUGUGGAUUGAAGAGAAAGGAGGAGAGUCAGAUGGACAGAAUCACAGAUACUACACCUGACAAUGUCUUCCUUUCAUCACAUGUUAGGAUCCUGUGUACCACAUGCUACGAUUCUUUCAGAAAGCUCAAGCAAGGCUGUAGUGUCUGCAGUCUCAAUCUAAAGAAAUAAAAACCAGGAGUAACACACACAUACACUACACAGAUGUAUAUACAAAUCUGAAUUGAGUUGAAUUAGAAAACCUUGUCAAUCAGAUCUAGCAGGUCUGCAUCUGUUAUGUCAGCUCAUCUUUAUUAAUCUCCCGGAAGAAAUGAAAUUGUAAAUCCACUCCAUGAAAAAGGUCCGUCCUGAGUAAUGCUCACUGCCAUUAUUUCACCAACUAUCCUAAAGUACAACAACAAUAUUAAUUAAACAUUACAAUGAAUGUAAUAUGGUGUAUUUAUUUAUCAAAAUGCUCCUCUCCAGAAGUAAUUUUGUAGCUGAAUACCAAGUUGAUGGUCCCUGAAUAUGGAUUUGAUGAGAAACAUGACAUCUUGUUGACGAGCUGUUUGUGACGUCUCUGAAGUACGGCUGAAGCACUGAUUGAGCGAUUACAUGUGACAGGAUUCAUGUCAGUAAAUUGUCCUGUAUCUGUUUACAGACCCUUUGGCAUUCAUUCAUGUUUAUUUGGCGCUGUAGCCCGUAACUGGUGUUAAAAACAGAGGAAGACGUGAUCUUUCAAGUGUGCUGCAUGCUGUCGCUUCACUUGACCUGAGACACACUGCGUGAUCGUCACUGCAUUAGAUAGAGAGGACCACAGUCAGAUUUAUUGGUUACAUUUCAAGAUAAGAUGGACAGAAAUCAAAUCUGAGACUUUGUUUCUUAUCAAAAGUAACAAAACACAAAGCCUAUUGUGGUUUAAUGGAUGAGAGAUGUGCUAUAAUGUUAUGUUCAUUCAUCAGCUGUAAAGAGACGAUCCAUCCUUGGGAUUUACCAAUCAGUUUGUAAAGAUGAGAUCGGUUCGAUUAAAAUUGAGACAUCAAUAUUAUUUUACCCAGCUGUAAUGCUAAUAAACCUUCCUGAAAUUGUCAUUCUGAAAGUCUGUAAUUGAAAACUUCAGAUUUUUUCCAGUGCUCCCUCCCUCAAAUAAUCUAAUAUUACUUAAACAAAGAUUAAUAAAUUAGACUUAAUUGCAUCUCUUGUGCUUGUCUUGCUUUUGUCCCGUUAUGAUGAAAUCUUGGUUUGGUCUAUCGUCAGCUCUGAAAGAAAUUCAAUUUAGCUAAAUAAAAA